GACGAACGCUGGCGGCGUGCUUAACACAUGCAAGUCGAACGGAAAGGCCCUGCUUUUGUGGGGUGCUCGAGUGGCGAACGGGUGCGUAACACGUGAGUAACCUGCCCUUGACUUUGGGAUAACUUCAGGAAACUGGGGCUAAUACCGGAUAGGAGCUCCUGCUGCAUGGUGGGGGUUGGAAAGUUUCGGCGGUUGGGGAUGGACUCGCGGCUUAUCAGCUUGUUGGUUGGGUAGUGGCUUACCAAGGCUUUGACGGGUAGCCGGCCUGAGAGGGUGACCGGCCACAUUGGGACUGAGAUACGGCCCAGACUCCUACGGGAGGCAGCAGUGGGGAAUAUUGCACAAUGGGCGGAAGCCUGAUGCAGCGACGCCGCGUGCGGGAUGACGGCCUUCGGGUUGUAAACCGCUUUCGCCUGUGACGAAGCGUGAGUGACGGUAAUGGGAGAAGAAGCACCGGCUAACUACGUG
Molecule: ribosomal RNA, 468 nt
Filed under: uncultured bacterium
Lineage: Bacteria
Description: partial 16S ribosomal RNA
Rfam family: Bacterial small subunit ribosomal RNA
Source: RNAcentral